Molecule: transfer RNA, 70 nt
Filed under: Acidimicrobiia bacterium
Lineage: Bacteria; Bacillati; Actinomycetota; Acidimicrobiia
Description: tRNA-Glu
Rfam family: tRNA
About the family: Transfer RNA (tRNA) molecules are approximately 80 nucleotides in length. Their secondary structure includes four short double-helical elements and three loops (D, anti-codon, and T loops).
Source: RNAcentral
ACCCCUGUUCCUGCGGGAGCGCCACCCUCUCAAGGUGGUAGCACGGGUUCAAAUCCCGUACGGGGUACCA